GUGUGCGGCGGCGGCGGCGGCGGCGGCGGCCGAGGGGGAUGGAGCGAGCGCCGAGCCGGGUCAGAGUUGAACAAUGACCAUAGUUGACAAAGCUUCUGAAUCUUCAGACCCAUCAGCCUAUCAGAAUCAGCCUGGCAGCUCCGAGGCAGUCUCACCUGGAGACAUGGAUGCAGGUUCUGCCAGCUGGGGUGCUGUGUCUUCAUUGAAUGAUGUGUCAAAUCACACACUUUCUUUAGGACCAGUACCUGGUGCUGUAGUUUAUUCGAGUUCAUCUGUACCUGAUAAAUCAAAACCAUCACCACAAAAGGAUCAAGCCCUAGGUGAUGGCAUCGCUCCUCCACAGAAAGUUCUUUUCCCAUCUGAGAAGAUUUGUCUUAAGUGGCAACAAACUCAUAGAGUUGGAGCUGGGCUCCAGAAUUUGGGCAAUACCUGUUUUGCCAAUGCAGCACUGCAGUGUUUAACCUACACACCACCUCUUGCCAAUUACAUGCUAUCACAUGAACACUCCAAAACAUGUCAUGCAGAAGGCUUUUGUAUGAUGUGUACAAUGCAAGCACAUAUUACCCAGGCACUCAGUAAUCCUGGGGACGUUAUUAAACCAAUGUUUGUCAUCAAUGAGAUGCGGCGUAUAGCUAGGCACUUCCGUUUUGGAAACCAAGAAGAUGCCCAUGAAUUCCUUCAAUACACUGUUGAUGCUAUGCAGAAAGCAUGCUUGAAUGGCAGCAAUAAAUUAGACAGACACACCCAGGCCACCACUCUUGUUUGUCAGAUAUUUGGAGGAUACCUAAGAUCUAGAGUCAAAUGUUUAAAUUGCAAGGGCGUUUCAGAUACUUUUGAUCCAUAUCUUGAUAUAACAUUGGAGAUAAAGGCUGCUCAGAGUGUCAACAAGGCAUUGGAGCAGUUUGUGAAGCCGGAACAGCUUGAUGGAGAAAACUCGUACAAGUGCAGCAAGUGUAAAAAGAUGGUUCCAGCUUCAAAGAGGUUCACUAUCCAUAGAUCCUCUAAUGUUCUUACACUUUCUCUGAAACGUUUUGCAAAUUUUACUGGUGGAAAAAUUGCUAAGGAUGUGAAAUACCCUGAGUAUCUUGAUAUUCGGCCAUAUAUGUCUCAACCCAACGGAGAGCCAAUUGUCUACGUCUUGUAUGCAGUGCUGGUCCACACUGGUUUUAAUUGCCAUGCUGGCCAUUACUUCUGCUACAUAAAAGCUAGCAAUGGCCUCUGGUAUCAAAUGAAUGACUCCAUUGUAUCUACCAGUGAUAUUAGAUCGGUACUCAGCCAACAAGCCUAUGUGCUCUUUUAUAUCAGGUCCCAUGAUGUGAAAAAUGGAGGUGAACUUACUCAUCCCACCCAUAGCCCCGGCCAGUCCUCUCCCCGCCCCGUCAUCAGUCAGCGGGUUGUCACCAACAAACAGGCUGCGCCAGGCUUUAUCGGACCACAGCUUCCCUCUCACAUGAUAAAGAAUCCACCUCACUUAAAUGGGACUGGACCAUUGAAAGACACGCCAAGCAGUUCCAUGUCGAGUCCUAACGGGAAUUCCAGUGUCAACAGGGCUAGUCCUGUUAAUGCUUCAGCUUCUGUCCAAAACUGGUCAGUUAAUAGGUCCUCAGUGAUCCCAGAACAUCCUAAGAAACAAAAAAUUACAAUCAGUAUUCACAACAAGUUGCCUGUUCGCCAGUGUCAGUCUCAACCUAACCUUCAUAGCAAUUCUUUGGAGAACCCUACCAAGCCCGUUCCCUCUUCUACCAUUACCAAUUCUGCAGUACAGUCUACCUCGAACGCAUCUACGAUGUCAGUUUCUAGUAAAGUAACAAAACCGAUCCCCCGCAGUGAAUCCUGCUCCCAGCCCAUGAUGAAUGGCAAAUCCAAGCUGAACUCCAGCGUGCUGGUGCCCUAUGGCGCCGAGUCCUCUGAGGACUCUGACGAGGAGUCGAAGGGGCUGGGCAAGGAGAAUGGGAUUGGUACGAUUGUGAGCUCCCACUCUCCCGGCCAAGAUGCCGAAGAUGAGGAGGCCACUCCGCACGAGCUCCAAGAACCCAUGACCCUAAACGGUGCUAAUAGUGCAGACAGUGACAGUGACCCGAAAGAAAAUGGCCUGCCGCCUGAUGGUGCCAGCUGCCAAGGCCAGCCUGCCCUGCACUCAGAAAAUCCCUUUGCUAAGGCAAACGGUCUUCCUGGAAAGUUGAUGCCUGCUCCUUUGCCGUCUCUCCCAGAAGACAAAAUCUUAGAGACCUUCAGGCUUAGCAACAAACUGAAAGGCUCGACGGAUGAAAUGAGUGCACCUGGAGCAGAGAGGGGCCCUCCCGAGGACCGCGACGCCGAGCCUCAGCCUGGCAGCCCCGCCGCCGAAUCCCUGGAGGAGCCAGAUGCGGCCGCCGGCCUCAGCAGCACCAAGAAGGCUCCGCCGCCCCCCGAUCCCGGCACCCCCGCUACCAAAGAAGGCGCCUGGGAGGCCAUGGCCGUCGCCCCCGAGGAGCCUCCGCCCAGCGCCGGCCAGGACAUCGUGGGGGACACAGCACCCCCUGACCUGUGUGAUCCCGAGAGCUUAACAGGCGACGCGAGCCCGUUGUCCCAGGAUGCAAAGGGGAUGAUCGCGGAGGGCCCGCGGGACUCGGCGUUGGCGGAAGCCCCGGAGGGGUUGAGUGCGGCUCCGCCUGCGCGGUCGGAGGAGCCCUGCGAGCAGCCACUCCUUGUUCACCCCAGCGGGGACCACGCCCGGGACGCUCAGGACCGAUCCCAGAGCUUGGGCGCACCGGAGGCCGCAGAGGGGCCGCCAGCUCCUGUGCUGGACAUGGCCCCGGCCGGUCACCCGGAAGGGGAUGCUGAGCCUAGUCCCGGCGAGAGGGUCGAGGACGCCACGGCGCCGAAAGCCCCAGGCCCUUCCCCAGCGAAGGAGAAAAUCGGCAGCCUCAGAAAGGUGGACCGAGGCCACUACCGCAGCCGGAGAGAGCGCUCGUCCAGCGGGGAGCCCGCCAGAGAGAGCAGGAGCAAGACUGAGGGCCACCGUCACCGGCGGCGCCGCACCUGCCCCCGGGAGCGCGACCGCCAGGACCGCCACGCCCCGGAGCACCACCCCGGCCACGGCGACAGGCUCAGCCCUGGCGAGCGCCGCUCUCUGGGCAGGUACAGUCACCACCACUCCCGACACCGGAGCGGGGCGGAGCCGGACUGGGUCAGACACCACUACACCGAGGGCGAGCAUGGCUGGGGCCGGGAGAAGUUCUACCCCGACAGGCCGCGCUGGGACAGGUGCCGGUACUACCAUGACAGGUACGCCCCGUACGCUGCCCGGGACUGGAAGCCCUUCCACGGUGGCCGCGAGCACGAGCGGGCCGGGCUGCACGAGCGGCCGCACAAGGACCACAACCGGGGCCGUAGGGGCUGCGAGCCGGCCCGGGAGAGGGAGCGGCACCGCCCCAGCAGCCCCCGCGCAGGCGCGCCCCACGCCCUCGCCCCGCACCCCGACCGCUUCUCCCACGACAGAACUGCACUUGUAGCCGGAGACAACUGUAACCUCUCUGAUCGGUUUCACGAACACGAAAAUGGAAAGUCCCGGAAACGGAGACACGACAGUGUGGAGAACAGUGACAGUCAUGUUGAAAAGAAAGCCCGGAGGAGCGAACAGAAGGAUCCUCUAGAAGAGCCUAAAGCGAAGAAGCACAAAAAAUCAAAGAAGAAAAAGAAAUCCAAAGACAAACACCGAGACCGCGACUCCAGGCAUCAGCAGGACUCAGAACUCUCAGCAGCGUGCUCUGACGCUGACCUCCACAGACACAAAAAAAAGAAGAAGAAAAAGAAGAGACAUUCAAGAAAAUCAGAGGACUUUGUUAAAGAUUCAGAACUGCACUUACCCAGGGUCGCCAGCUUGGAGACUGUCGCCCAGUUCCGGAGAGCCCAGGGUGGCUUUCCUCUCUCUGGUGGCCCGCCUCUGGAAGGCGUCGGACCUUUCCGUGAGAAAACGAAACACUUACGGAUGGAAAGCAGGGAUGACAGGUGUCGUCUCUUUGAGUAUGGCCAGGGUAAGAGGAGAUACUUGGAAUUAGGAAGAUAGAAACUAUUUCUUAAUACAUUUUCUUUGCAAAGGUGAUUAACAUGUAGAAAGAAAACCUCAGGUGGCAUCAAAGGGCACAGUUACUCAGAGCACCCCUGCCCUGCCUGGUCCGGCCUCAGUGCUCAUCCCUGCAGUGUGGUUCCGUUGCACAGUUUGGCUCCUUAGCACCAAGCCCUUAGCGUUUAUUGAAGGCCUAAGUGACACAGGACUGAGGGCAGCACUACCUGUGUCACCAAAGCCCUGGAACGUACAGCUCUGG
This 4307-nucleotide small RNA is filed under the name Pan troglodytes (chimpanzee). RNAcentral's name for it is "retained intron". The record is from RNAcentral. Lineage: Eukaryota; Metazoa; Chordata; Mammalia; Primates; Hominidae.